RNAcentral lists this ribosomal RNA (500 nucleotides) under uncultured Myrionecta. RNAcentral describes it as "bacterial SSU rRNA". It matches the Rfam family "Eukaryotic small subunit ribosomal RNA", at positions 1212 to 1800 of the family's 1831-position model. The record is from RNAcentral. Lineage: Eukaryota; Ciliophora; Litostomatea; Cyclotrichida; Mesodiniidae.
AACUUACCAGGUCAAGACAUGGGCGUGAUUGACAGGCUAAUGACUUUUCUCGAUUCCAUGGAUGGUGGUGCAUGGUCGCACUUAGUUGGUGCAGUGAUUUGUCAGGUUUAUUCCGGUAACGAACGAGACCUCGGCCUUGUAAAUAGCUAUGCUGCUUACAGGGACAUUGGCGGCUACGCCAAGGAAGCUCGAGGCAAUUGCAGAUCUGGAAUGCCCUUAGAUGUCCUGGGUCGCACGCGUGCUACAAUGACGCCACGAACGAGCUUGCGUGAUGAAAGUUACGCAUAAUCAGCAGUCGGCGUCUUAAGGGAUAGUCUCUUGUAACUGUGGGACUCCAACUAGGAAUGUCUCGUAAGCACAAGUCAACAUCUUGUGUUGAUUACGUCCCUGCUCUUUGUACACACCGCCCGUCGCUCCUACCGAUCGAGUGUUUAGGUGAAUUUGAUGGACGUAAGGAAGUCAAAUAAACCUGAGCACUAGAGAAGAGAAGUCGAACAGCC